GAUCCUGGCUCAGGACGAACGCUGGCGGCAUGCCUAACACAUGCAAGUCGAACGGAGAUAUUUGGAAGCUUGCUUUUUGGAUAUCUUAGUGGCGGACGGGCGAGUAACGCGUGAGCAACCUGGCCUUCAGAGUGGAACAACGUCUGGAAACGGGCGCUAAUACCGCAUAACACAAGAGAGUCGCAUGGCUUUUUUGUCAAAGGAGAAAUCCGCUGAAGGAUGGGCUCGCGUCCGAUUAG
RNAcentral lists this ribosomal RNA (239 nucleotides) under uncultured bacterium. RNAcentral describes it as "partial 16S ribosomal RNA". It matches the Rfam family "Bacterial small subunit ribosomal RNA", at positions 15 to 244 of the family's 1533-position model. The record is from RNAcentral.